AUCGGGCCCAUACCCCGAAAAUGAUGGUUCAACUCCUUCCCCUGCUA
Molecule: transfer RNA, 47 nt
Filed under: Nesillas typica (Madagascan brush warbler)
Lineage: Eukaryota; Metazoa; Chordata; Aves; Passeriformes; Sylviidae
Also listed under: 1 other name
Description: partial tRNA-Met
Source: RNAcentral